This 68-nucleotide transfer RNA is filed under the name Marmota monax (woodchuck). RNAcentral describes it as "tRNA.Ala". Lineage: Eukaryota; Metazoa; Chordata; Mammalia; Rodentia; Sciuridae. The record is from RNAcentral.
GGGGUAUAGCUCAGUGAUAGAGUGUUUGCCCAGCAUGCACAAGGCCAUGGGUUUGAACCCAAGCUCCG